This 445-nucleotide ribosomal RNA is filed under the name uncultured bacterium. Its description in RNAcentral is "partial 16S ribosomal RNA". It matches the Rfam family "Bacterial small subunit ribosomal RNA", at positions 354 to 796 of the family's 1533-position model. The record is from RNAcentral.
GUGAGGAAUAUUGGACAAUGGGCGCAAGCCUGAUCCAGCCAUGCCGCGUGCAGGAAGACGCAUCUAUGGUGUGUAAACUGCUUUUGUACGGGAAGAAACACUCCCUCGUGAGGGAGCUUGACGGUACCGUAAGAAUAAGGAUCGGCUAACUCCGUGCCAGCAGCCGCGGUAAUACGGAGGAUCCAAGCGUUAUCCGGAAUCAUUGGGUUUAAAGGGUCCGUAGGCGGUUUAAUAAGUCAGUGGUGAAAGCCCAUCGCUCAACGAUGGAACGGCCAUUGAUACUGUUAGACUUGAAUUACAAGGAAGUAACUAGAAUAUGUAGUGUAGCGGUGAAAUGCUUAGAUAUUACAUGGAAUACCAAUUGCGAAGGCAGGUUACUACUUGUGGAUUGACGCUGAUGGACGAAAACGUGGGGAGCGAACAGGAUUAGAAACCCGUGUAGUCC